Long non-coding RNA from Etheostoma cragini (Arkansas darter), 147 nucleotides. RefSeq lists it as uncharacterized. The transcript is spliced from 3 exons. The record is from RefSeq and is a predicted model, not a curated record. Lineage: Eukaryota; Metazoa; Chordata; Actinopteri; Perciformes; Percidae.
UAGGCUAUCAGUUAAGGCUGGGUUAAAAUAAUUGAUUCUCCAAUUAAUACCGACCUUUGCUUGAGUGAUCUGAUAUUGAUUCAUAAUAUCCAGAAUCAAUCUUUUAAUAUAUGCCUUUUCACCAUGGAAGUAAAAAGUACUUUAAAG